GACGAACGCUGGCGGCAUGCCUAACACAUGCAAGUCGAACGGAGUUUCUUAAAUGGAUUUCUUCGGAAUGAAGCUUUUGAAACUUAGUGGCGGACGGGUGAGUAACGCGUGGGUAACCUGCCCUUUUGUGGGGAACAACUUCGAGAAAUCGGAGCUAAUACCGCAUAUACUUACGGGAUCGCAUGAUACUGUAAGGAAAGAUGGCCUCUGAAUAUGCUAUCGCAAAAGGAUGGACCCGCGUCUGAUUAGCUAGUUGGUGAGGUAACGGCUCACCAAGGCGACGAUCAGUAGCCGGCCUGAGAGGGUGAACGGCCACAUUGGGACUGAGAUACGGCCCAGACUCCUACGGGGAGCAGCAGUGGGGAAUAUUGGGCAAUGGGGGAAACCCUGACCCAGCAACGCCGCGUGAAGGAAGAAGGCC
RNAcentral lists this ribosomal RNA (421 nucleotides) under uncultured bacterium. Its description in RNAcentral is "bacterial SSU rRNA". It matches the Rfam family "Bacterial small subunit ribosomal RNA", at positions 28 to 416 of the family's 1533-position model. The record is from RNAcentral.